UUCAGGGCUAGAGUCACGUUUGGGUAUCAGCUACUGCCUGAGUGCAGUGGAGUCCUCCAAAAGUAACUGCUGACCUUAGUCACUGGCUGUGGCCCUCAUGACAUAGUCAGUCAGCAGGUUAGUGACAGGC
Small nucleolar RNA from Cervus hanglu yarkandensis (Yarkand deer), 130 nucleotides. The record is from Ensembl. NCBI's taxonomy places the organism in Eukaryota, Metazoa, Chordata, Mammalia, Artiodactyla, Cervidae.